AGAGUUUGAUCAUGGCUCAGGAUGAACGCUGGCGGCGUGCCUAACACAUGCAAGUCGAACGAAGCGCCUGAUCAGAUUUCUUCGGAAUGAAGAUUUAGCGACUGAGUGGCGGACGGGUGAGUAACGCGUGGGCAACCUGCCUCAUACAGGGGGAUAACAGCCGGAAACGGCUGCUAAUACCGCAUAAGCGCACAGGACCGCAUGGUCCGGUGUGAAAAACUCCGGUGGUAUGAGAUGGGCCCGCGUCUGAUUAGCCAGUUGGCGGGGCAGCGGCCCACCAAAGCGACGAUCAGUAGCCGACCUGAGAGGGUGACCGGCCACAUUGGGACUGAGACACGGCCCAAACUCCUACGGGAGGCAGCAGUGGGGAAUAUUGCACAAUGGGGGAAACCCUGAUGCAGCGACGCCGCGUGAGCGAAGAAGUAUUUCGGUAUGUAAAGCUCUAUCAGCAGGGAAGAAGAAAGUGACGGUACCUGACUAAGAAGCACCGGCUAAAUACGUGCCAGCAGCCGCGGUAAUACGUAUGGUGCAAGCGUUAUCCGGAUUUACUGGGUGUAAAGGGAGCGCAGGCGGUACGGCAAGUCUGAUGUGAAAGCCCGGGGCUCAACCCCGGUACUGCAUUGGAAACUGUCGGACUAGAGUGUCGGAGGGGUAAGCGGAAUUCCUAGUGUAGCGGUGAAAUGCGUAGAUAUUAGGAGGAACACCAGUGGCGAAGGCGGCUUACUGGACGACAACUGACGCUGAGGCUCGAAAGCGUGGGGAGCAAACAGGAUUAGAUACCCUGGUAGUCCACGCCGUAA
This 800-nucleotide ribosomal RNA is filed under the name uncultured bacterium. Its description in RNAcentral is "bacterial SSU rRNA". It matches the Rfam family "Bacterial small subunit ribosomal RNA", at positions 8 to 805 of the family's 1533-position model. The record is from RNAcentral.